This 2902-nucleotide ribosomal RNA is filed under the name Escherichia coli. RNAcentral's name for it is "23S ribosomal RNA". It matches the Rfam family "Bacterial large subunit ribosomal RNA". Lineage: Bacteria; Pseudomonadati; Pseudomonadota; Gammaproteobacteria; Enterobacterales; Enterobacteriaceae. The record is from RNAcentral.
UUAAGCGACUAAGCGUACACGGUGGAUGCCCUGGCAGUCAGAGGCGAUGAAGGACGUGCUAAUCUGCGAUAAGCGUCGGUAAGGUGAUAUGAACCGUUAUAACCGGCGAUUUCCGAAUGGGGAAACCCAGUGUGUUUCGACACACUAUCAUUAACUGAAUCCAUAGGUUAAUGAGGCGAACCGGGGGAACUGAAACAUCUAAGUACCCCGAGGAAAAGAAAUCAACCGAGAUUCCCCCAGUAGCGGCGAGCGAACGGGGAGCAGCCCAGAGCCUGAAUCAGUGUGUGUGUUAGUGGAAGCGUCUGGAAAGGCGCGCGAUACAGGGUGACAGCCCCGUACACAAAAAUGCACAUAUUGUGAGCUCGAUGAGUAGGGCGGGACACGUGGUAUCCUGUCUGAAUAUGGGGGGACCAUCCUCCAAGGCUAAAUACUCCUGACUGACCGAUAGUGAACCAGUACCGUGAGGGAAAGGCGAAAAGAACCCCGGCGAGGGGAGUGAAAAAGAACCUGAAACCGUGUACGUACAAGCAGUGGGAGCACGCUUAGGCGUGUGACUGCGUACCUUUUGUAUAAUGGGUCAGCGACUUAUAUUCUGUAGCAAGGUUAACCGAAUAGGGGAGCCGAAGGGAAACCGAGUCUUAACUGGGCGUUAAGUUGCAGGGUAUAGACCCGAAACCCGGUGAUCUAGCCAUGGGCAGGUUGAAGGUUGGGUAACACUAACUGGAGGACCGAACCGACUAAUGUUGAAAAAUUAGCGGAUGACUUGUGGCUGGGGGUGAAAGGCCAAUCAAACCGGGAGAUAGCUGGUUCUCCCCGAAAGCUAUUUAGGUAGCGCCUCGUGAAUUCAUCUCCGGGGGUAGAGCACUGUUUCGGCAAGGGGGUCAUCCCGACUUACCAACCCGAUGCAAACUGCGAAUACCGGAGAAUGUUAUCACGGGAGACACACGGCGGGUGCUAACGUCCGUCGUGAAGAGGGAAACAACCCAGACCGCCAGCUAAGGUCCCAAAGUCAUGGUUAAGUGGGAAACGAUGUGGGAAGGCCCAGACAGCCAGGAUGUUGGCUUAGAAGCAGCCAUCAUUUAAAGAAAGCGUAAUAGCUCACUGGUCGAGUCGGCCUGCGCGGAAGAUGUAACGGGGCUAAACCAUGCACCGAAGCUGCGGCAGCGACGCUGAUGCGUUGUUGGGUAGGGGAGCGUUCUGUAAGCCUGCGAAGGUGUGCUGUGAGGCAUGCUGGAGGUAUCAGAAGUGCGAAUGCUGACAUAAGUAACGAUAAAGCGGGUGAAAAGCCCGCUCGCCGGAAGACCAAGGGUUCCUGUCCAACGUUAAUCGGGGCAGGGUGAGUCGACCCCUAAGGCGAGGCCGAAAGGCGUAGUCGAUGGGAAACAGGUUAAUAUUCCUGUACUUGGUGUUACUGCGAAGGGGGGACGGAGAAGGCUAUGUUGGCCGGGCGACGGUUGUCCCGGUUUAAGCGUGUAGGCUGGUUUUCCAGGCAAAUCCGGAAAAUCAAGGCUGAGGCGUGAUGACGAGGCACUACGGUGCUGAAGCAACAAAUGCCCUGCUUCCAGGAAAAGCCUCUAAGCAUCAGGUAACAUCAAAUCGUACCCCAAACCGACACAGGUGGUCAGGUAGAGAAUACCAAGGCGCUUGAGAGAACUCGGGUGAAGGAACUAGGCAAAAUGGUGCCGUAACUUCGGGAGAAGGCACGCUGAUAUGUAGGUGAAGUCCCUUGCGGAUGGAGCUGAAAUCAGUCGAAGAUACCAGCUGGCUGCAACUGUUUAUUAAAAACACAGCACUGUGCAAACACGAAAGUGGACGUAUACGGUGUGACGCCUGCCCGGUGCCGGAAGGUUAAUUGAUGGGGUCAGCGCAAGCGAAGCUCUUGAUCGAAGCCCCGGUAAACGGCGGCCGUAACUAUAACGGUCCUAAGGUAGCGAAAUUCCUUGUCGGGUAAGUUCCGACCUGCACGAAUGGCGUAAUGAUGGCCAGGCUGUCUCCACCCGAGACUCAGUGAAAUUGAACUCGCUGUGAAGAUGCAGUGUACCCGCGGCAAGACGGAAAGACCCCGUGAACCUUUACUAUAGCUUGACACUGAACAUUGAGCCUUGAUGUGUAGGAUAGGUGGGAGGCUUUGAAGUGUGGACGCCAGUCUGCAUGGAGCCGACCUUGAAAUACCACCCUUUAAUGUUUGAUGUUCUAACGUUGACCCGUAAUCCGGGUUGCGGACAGUGUCUGGUGGGUAGUUUGACUGGGGCGGUCUCCUCCUAAAGAGUAACGGAGGAGCACGAAGGUUGGCUAAUCCUGGUCGGACAUCAGGAGGUUAGUGCAAUGGCAUAAGCCAGCUUGACUGCGAGCGUGACGGCGCGAGCAGGUGCGAAAGCAGGUCAUAGUGAUCCGGUGGUUCUGAAUGGAAGGGCCAUCGCUCAACGGAUAAAAGGUACUCCGGGGAUAACAGGCUGAUACCGCCCAAGAGUUCAUAUCGACGGCGGUGUUUGGCACCUCGAUGUCGGCUCAUCACAUCCUGGGGCUGAAGUAGGUCCCAAGGGUAUGGCUGUUCGCCAUUUAAAGUGGUACGCGAGCUGGGUUUAGAACGUCGUGAGACAGUUCGGUCCCUAUCUGCCGUGGGCGCUGGAGAACUGAGGGGGGCUGCUCCUAGUACGAGAGGACCGGAGUGGACGCAUCACUGGUGUUCGGGUUGUCAUGCCAAUGGCACUGCCCGGUAGCUAAAUGCGGAAGAGAUAAGUGCUGAAAGCAUCUAAGCACGAAACUUGCCCCGAGAUGAGUUCUCCCUGACUCCUUGAGAGUCCUGAAGGAACGUUGAAGACGACGACGUUGAUAGGCCGGGUGUGUAAGCGCAGCGAUGCGUUGAGCUAACCGGUACUAAUGAACCGUGAGGCUUAACCUU